Molecule: long non-coding RNA, 1663 nt
Filed under: Citrus x clementina
Lineage: Eukaryota; Viridiplantae; Streptophyta; Magnoliopsida; Sapindales; Rutaceae
Description: Citrus clementina (C. clementina) long non-coding RNA (CCLE_LNC004398)
Source: RNAcentral
AAAUUCAAGUUUGAGCUUGGAGGAGUAGAUCUUCAAUAAUUUAGGUUAAAUUUUGGAGGAGUAGAUUCGGUUGUAAAAUAACUUUUUUUUAGCAUCUAUUAACAAUUAUCCGAUAAAUGGGAUGACAUGUCAUUUUUAUCAAAAUAUACAAUAUGACAUGUCAUUUUUUACUAGGUAAAUGGGAUGACAUGUCGUUUUUUUGAAAAGACUAGAUUACCCUUAUUAUGUUAGCGCUCGCAAACGGCAGUUAACGGAUUGGUGGACGGCAGAAGUGUUUCGUCAACUUAGGGUAUACGAGUGAUACACUUGAAAAGUAUUGUAGCAUGUUUGAUACUGGUGUCAGUUAAGGGUAUAUGACUGAUAAUUUCCCUUAUAAAAAAUUAGAGUCAAUUUUUUUUUGAGUUAAUAAAGUCAAAUGAUAUUGUAGUCAAAAGGAGAUUUUGGUUCUUUUAUUAAAAAUUUGAGGGUUUACAUUUCCUCAAACCUUGGGGAUGUAGGUGACUAGGCGUCAUUUUCCUUAAAAAGUAGUUAGUUUAUAAAUAAUGCAUCUAAGGAAAAUACUUCUCCAAUUUCAGAAAAAAUGAUAAAUGACCAAUUAACUGUUGGUGGUAAAUUUGUGGAGAAUGACAAAUGUAGAGAAAUACAACAAUAAUGGUGGAACUUUAUUAUGUAAAGUAAUGUGUUUACAACUAACUCUGUAUGUAGGAAGAAACUGCAGAAAUUUUGUAUGCUUCAAGGCACGUUACAAUAAGUCGCUUUCCUUAAGACGUUAUUUGCCCCCACCAAUUGAGUGAUGCACAUGGGUUAAGCAAAUACACCUCCAAGAUACAAUGAAGCACUUGUUUGUUUGCUUGCGUUGUGCAUCGACGAAAGCAAACCAGAAUACUCUUGAAUGUUGCAAGCCUGCCAAGAAACAAUAUAUUGUUCCUGCAGAAAACAAUAUAUUGGAAUGUGAAUGUACAAAAGAAAUGGGUGUUUUGUGUUGAAAUUCGUACUAGAAAGGAAUGCUAAGAAAAGAGUGGUGUAGGAUCAUUCAUUUUUAUGUCUAAAUGGCUUAAACAUGACCCCUAUUUAUAGAUAUACUUGUGCCCCCUCAUUUGGGUUAUCAUCUUUCAUGAUACCCCUUCAUUCAUGACCAUUGGAUCUAGAUUUGAUUUUAAUCAAUGGUCCAAAUUGAAUCAUCACCAUUUCAAAUGAAAUGUCACCAUGAAAUGAUGUAUCUCUAAGUGAAAUGUUGCCAUGAAAAGUUAUAUCAUUUAGUAAAAUGAUACCUUUUCUACAAGACACAAUUAAAUGGACAUGUCCUUACAACAAGACAUCAUUUAAUUAGACAAGUCUUUAGUGAAAGGUACCUUUUCUAUAAGGCACAAUUAAUAGGACAUGUCUUUACCAUAAGACACAUUUAUUGUUGAAAAUGUUCCAACAUUAACAACUUAAUUAAGAAUAGAAAUUUAAAAGAAUGCAAGAAGAUACCCCAUACCUAUACUAACAAAGGUAAUAAAAAUGAUGAUAUCAAGGGCUAGCUCCAAUAGGGGUAGCGUUACCAAAACUUAGUUCUUAAGUUCGAGUCUCAUGCAAUAUGCUUAUGUGUUUACUCGAUAAAAAUUAUUAAAAAAAAGCAAAAGAUUCUUAUGUCUUGAUUAUAUUUAAGAUGCAAAUUUAA